GGGAGUUGGAGACGUCGCGGUGGUGGAGGCGGGCGCAAGCGCAGGGAGCGAGGUGCCUGCAACCUCAGGAGAGAAGUGUGUUUUGAAGCAGUGUCAGGAUGUGGAUCUCUCCUUCCUACAGCAGCCCGCAGGAUCUGAUCUCUUUCGGGGUACAAAGAAGGGAACGCUGUUUCUCACUUCAUACCGGGUGAUCUUCGUGACUUCACACUCAGUCGACGACCCCAUGUUUUCUUUCAUGAUGCCAUUUGAUCUGAUGAGUAACUGCACCAUUGAACAACCCGUCUUUGCCCCCAACUACAUUAAAGGAACCGUUCAGGCAGCUCCAGAUGGUGGCUGGGAAGGACAGGCUGUUUUUAAAUUAUCCUUCAGAAAAGGAGGUGCCAUUGAAUUUGCCCAGCUAAUGAUGAAAGCUGCCUCUGCUGCUGCCAGAGGAAUUCCACUCGGAAGUGUGAAUUACUGGUACGGCACUUCGGGACUGUUUGUAAUCACUACACCCGGGGGCACAACGUGCACCCAGCGCACACCUUGUCCAGUUGUGGUCUAUGGACCCCUACCAGUAGGAUAUGGAGGCCAACCAGCAGAAUAUAGAGCCCCACCUCCAGGAUACAGAGCCCCACCUCCAGGAUACAGAGCCCCACCUCCAGGAUACGGAGCCCCACCUCCAGGAUACGGAGCCCCACCUGAAAGACUCGAAGCCCCACCAGCAGGAUAUGGAGUCCCAUCUGCGGGAUAUGAAGCCCCACCUGCAAGAUAUGACGCCCUGCCUCCAGGAUACGGAGCCCCACCUGAAAGACUCGAAGCCCCACCAGCAGGAUAUGGAGUCCCAUCUGCGGGAUAUGAAGCCCCACCUGCAAGAUAUGAUGCCCCGCCUCCAGGAUAUGGAGCCUCACCUGAAAGAUAUGGAGCCCCCUCUGCAGGAUAUGGACACACAACAGCUGAAAAUGAAGCCCCACCUCUAGCAUAUGAAGCCCCAUCUGCUGGAAAUAGAGCUGCCUCUCACAAAUCUGUGGCAGCCCAGCCGGAGGCUUCUCUUCCCUCUACCUCAUCUUCUCAGGCGCAUUUACCACCUUCUAAGAAGUAAACCUAGAAGAUUCACCAAGCAAAGGGUACCCUAAAACUGAAGUCACGAUAAGGAGGAGGACUCAGGUGCAGGCAGGAGGAGGCGUUUCCUGGGCAUGGAGUGACCUGACGCUCCCCACACAUCUGUGAGGUCCUGAGCCUCAAAACACAGAUGCAUGUGAGAAGACUGCUGUCCCCAAGGAAGGAAAAUGCCUGACAGAUGCGAGCCAACCAGAGCAAGAGAGAGAUCCGAACCAGCACAUAAACAGCUUGGGGAUGAAGACCGAUUUCUGGGUUCUCAUUAGGAAACAGGCCUGGGCCUGUGUCUCAAGGAGAAGAGAGAAGUCCUUGCAACCCAAGAGGCUAGGGUUACCCUGGUUUUACACCCUCGAUUAAAGCCUGCUUGCUGUUUGUUGCGUA
Sus scrofa (pig) is the source of this 1479-nucleotide non-coding RNA. Lineage: Eukaryota; Metazoa; Chordata; Mammalia; Artiodactyla; Suidae. The record is from RefSeq and is a predicted model, not a curated record.